Molecule: unclassified non-coding RNA, 521 nt
Filed under: Araeococcus micranthus
Lineage: Eukaryota; Viridiplantae; Streptophyta; Magnoliopsida; Poales; Bromeliaceae
Description: partial 26S-18S rRNA external transcribed spacer
Source: RNAcentral
GUUUCGGCCUCCCAGUCUAGCGUGGCACAAGUGGGUGUGUCGACGGCGACUCGAACAAGACCAUGUCCACACAUGAGCAGUCACGAAUUGGUGUGUCCCGCAGGCGGCUUGCCUCUCACAAUCAACCACUGAAGAGGCCAUGCUUCUUAGUCCUGUGCUUAUUCGUAUCUUUAGGCCAUCCUUUUUAGUCAUGUACAUCGCGUGUGCCAUCUACCCAGCUCUACAGGAAAUCAACGUACCCCAUGUGCCAGUUCGCCUCACCACCUCGAGCGGGAGGCACAACCACAAUGUGGUUGUCGCGCACACCUUAACGAAUCAACCCUUGGACCCCGUCCUAGCUGGGCUCCAGAAGUAUCACAAGCUCUCACGAAUGCAGCAGGCUUCGGGGACUUCGGCCCUUGGCCUAGACCUUGGUAGGUCAUUAAGCCACUCUCGUCGAGAUAACGGUCGAUCCACCGAUAGCCUGAGGCGGUCGGGCGCCUUAACAACAUCAACAUCGCAAAGGACAUGCUACCUGGUUG